Molecule: long non-coding RNA, 283 nt
Filed under: Sus scrofa (pig)
Lineage: Eukaryota; Metazoa; Chordata; Mammalia; Artiodactyla; Suidae
Description: lncRNA (ENSSSCG00070016547.1)
Source: RNAcentral
AGGCAGAUCUUCUGUUACCCUGAAGAUUCAAAGGCAUUUAAAUGAGCAGCAGUCAACGCAACUUAACCAAUUGACAGGUAGCUGGAUGGAUGCUUGUGGGAUGGAUAGAAGAAAAGUAAACAACUUUGUAUUUUAAUAAAUGUUUUUUACUUAAAAGCCAUCUGAAGUGUACUCAUUUCAAUUUCAUGGGGGGAAGGGAGUGGGGCAUUUUUGUAAUUAAGACCUAAUGGCAUAUUUUUUGCAGAAAUUUUCUGAAGGGCCUUGUCAGUUUGUCAAGGAUUGG